This 254-nucleotide ribosomal RNA is filed under the name uncultured bacterium. RNAcentral describes it as "partial 16S ribosomal RNA". It matches the Rfam family "Bacterial small subunit ribosomal RNA", at positions 524 to 776 of the family's 1533-position model. The record is from RNAcentral.
UACGGGGGGAGCAAGCGUUGUUCGGAUUUACUGGGCGUAAAGGGCGCGUAGGCGGUCGUGACAAGUCACUUGUGAAAUCUCCGGGCUUAACUCGGAACGGUCAAGUGAUACUGUCGGACUAGAGUACAGAAGGGGCAACUGGAAUUCUCGGUGUAGCGGUGAAAUGCGUAGAUAUCAGGAAGAACACCCGUGGCGAAGGCGGUUCUCUGGGACGGUACUGACGCUGAGACGCGAAAGCGUGGGGAGCGAACAGG